This 158-nucleotide ribosomal RNA is filed under the name uncultured bacterium. RNAcentral's name for it is "partial 16S ribosomal RNA". It matches the Rfam family "Bacterial small subunit ribosomal RNA", at positions 355 to 509 of the family's 1533-position model. The record is from RNAcentral.
UGAGGAAUAUUGGUCAAUGGGCGGAAGCCAGAACCAGCCAAGUCGCGUGAGGGAAUAAGGCCCUACGGGUCGUAAACCUCUUUUGCCGGGGAGCAAGGGCGGGGACGUGUCCCGGCCCGGAGAGUACCCGGAGAAAAAGCAUCGGCUAACUCCGUGCC